GUUGAAGCAGAUUGUCCAGCAAAGUUCUUCAUUGGUGGGCUUAAUACGGAAACAAAUAAGAAAGCUCUUGAAGCAGUAUUUGGCUAAUAUGGACGAAUAGUGGAAGCACUCUUGAUGAAAGAGCAUGAAACCAACAAAUCAAGAGGAUUUGCUUUUGUCACCUUUGAAAGCCCAGCAGAUGCUAAGGAUGCAGCCAGAGACAUGAAUGGAAAGUCAUUAGAUGGAAAAGCCAUCAAGGUGGAACAAGCCACCAAACCAUCAUUUGAAAGUGGUAGACGUGGACUGCCUCCACCUCCAAGAAGUAGAGGCCCUCCAAAAGGUCUUAGAGGUGGAAGAGGAAGAAGUGGAGGAACCAGGAGACCUCCCUCAUGGAGAAGACACAUGGAUGACAGUGGAUACUCCAUGAAUUUUAACAUGAGUUCUUCCAGGGGACCACUCCCAGUAAAAAGAAGACCACCACCAAGAAGUGGGGGUCCUCCUCCUAAGAGUUCUGCACCUUCAGGACCAGUUCGCAGCAGCAGUGGAAUGGGAGGAAGAGCUCCUGUGUCACGUGGAAGAGAUAGUUAGUGCGGUCCACCUGGAAGGGAACCGCUGCCCUCUCGUAGAGGGUUCUUCUUGAAGACAGUUCUUCAAGCAGAGAUUAGCCAAGUUCUCGUGAUACAAGAGGUUAUGCACCACCACCACCGCGAGAUUGUACUUACCGUGAUUAUGGUCAUUUCAGUUCACGUGAUGACUAUCCAUCAAGAGGCUAUAGCGAUAGAGAUGGAUAUAAUAGUGAUCAUGACUAUUCAGAUCAUCCAGCUGGAGAUUCCUACAGAGAUUCAUAUGAAAGUUAUCGUAACUCACGUAGUGCUCCACCUACAGGAGGGCCCCCGCCCCCCCAUCUUAUGGUGGAAGCGAUGAUUAUAGCAGUUCACGUGACGGAUAUGGUGGAAGUCGAGACAGUUACUCAAGCAGCCGAAGUGAUCUCUAAUCAAGUGGUCGUGGUCGGGUUGGCAGACAAGAAAGACGGCUUCCCCCUUCUAUGGAAAUCCUCCACGUGAUUCCCACGGCAAUUCAGGCGGUGGAGCACCAAGAGGUGGUGGCAGUGGAGGAAGCCGAUCUGAUAGAGGGGGAGGCAGAAGCAGAUACUAG
RNAcentral lists this long non-coding RNA (1134 nucleotides) under Homo sapiens (human). RNAcentral's name for it is "non-protein coding SEC24B-AS1:22". The record is from RNAcentral. Lineage: Eukaryota; Metazoa; Chordata; Mammalia; Primates; Hominidae.